Molecule: transfer RNA, 75 nt
Filed under: Rigidipenna inexpectata
Lineage: Eukaryota; Metazoa; Chordata; Aves; Caprimulgiformes; Podargidae
Description: tRNA-Trp
Rfam family: tRNA
About the family: Transfer RNA (tRNA) molecules are approximately 80 nucleotides in length. Their secondary structure includes four short double-helical elements and three loops (D, anti-codon, and T loops).
Source: RNAcentral
AGAAACUUAGGUUAAUUUAUAGCAAACCAAAGGCCUUCAAAGCCUCAAAUAAGAGCCAAACUCUCUUAGUUUCUG